Molecule: unclassified non-coding RNA, 150 nt
Organism: Callithrix jacchus (white-tufted-ear marmoset)
Lineage: Eukaryota; Metazoa; Chordata; Mammalia; Primates; Cebidae
Rfam family: Metazoan signal recognition particle RNA
About the family: The signal recognition particle (SRP) is a universally conserved ribonucleoprotein. It is involved in the co-translational targeting of proteins to membranes.
Source: Ensembl
GCCAGGCGUGGUGGUGUGUGCCUGUAGUCCCAGCUACUUGGGAGGCUGAGGUGGGAGAAUCACUUGAACCCGGGAAGCAGAGGUUGCAGUGAGCCAAGAUCGUGCGCCACUGAACUCCAGCCUGGGUGACAGAGUGAGACUCCAUCUCAA